AUCUAAUAGAUUUGGCGGUAUCCGUGACUCAUCAGAGGAAUUUGCUUUAUAAUCGAUAAUCCUCGUAUAAUCUUACCUUUGUUUGUGUAAUCAGUUUGUAUACCGUCAUAGAUGUAAUUUUUAUAAAAUUGUAAUUAUUUAAAUAAUUUUGGGAUAAGACAUUAGAUCAAGGUGCAGCUUAUAUAAAGGGUAAAGUUAAUUACAGUAUAUUUUUGUAGGUAUGGAUAAGAGUAAUAAAAUGUUUUUGAAAGUGGAUUUGAUUGUAAUUUGUAUUUUAAUAAGGUAAUAUGAUAGUAGUUCUGGGAUAUGU
This 310-nucleotide ribosomal RNA is filed under the name Spongicola andamanicus. RNAcentral's name for it is "partial 12S ribosomal RNA". Lineage: Eukaryota; Metazoa; Arthropoda; Malacostraca; Decapoda; Spongicolidae. The record is from RNAcentral.